RNAcentral lists this ribosomal RNA (253 nucleotides) under uncultured bacterium. Its description in RNAcentral is "partial 16S ribosomal RNA". It matches the Rfam family "Bacterial small subunit ribosomal RNA", at positions 524 to 776 of the family's 1533-position model. The record is from RNAcentral.
UACGUAGGGGGCUAGCGUUGUCCGGAAUCAUUGGGCGUAAAGCGCGUGUAGGCGGCCCGGUAAGUCCGCUGUGAAAGUCGGGGGCUCAACCCUCGGAUGCCGGUGGAUACUGUCGGGCUGGAGUGCGGAAGAGGCGAGUGGAAUUCCCGGUGUAGCGGUGAAAUGCGCAGAUAUCGGGAGGAACACCAGUAGCGAAGGCGGCUCGCUGGGCCAUUCCUGACGCUGAGACGCGAAAGCUAGGGGAGCGAACAGG